GGAGCGUUGGCCUAAUGGAUAAGGCAUCAGACUUCGGAUCUGAGGAUUGUGGGUUCGAAUCCCAUACGCUUCG
RNAcentral lists this transfer RNA (73 nucleotides) under Entomophthora muscae. RNAcentral describes it as "tRNA-Arg". It matches the Rfam family "tRNA". From Rfam's summary of the family: Transfer RNA (tRNA) molecules are approximately 80 nucleotides in length. Their secondary structure includes four short double-helical elements and three loops (D, anti-codon, and T loops). Further hydrogen bonds mediate the characteristic L-shaped molecular structure. tRNAs have two regions of fundamental functional importance: the anti-codon, which is responsible for specific mRNA codon recognition, and the 3' end, to which the tRNAs corresponding amino acid is attached (by aminoacyl-tRNA synthetases). tRNAs cope with the degeneracy of the genetic code in two manners: having more than one tRNA (with a specific anti-codon) for a particular amino acid; and 'wobble' base-pairing, i.e. permitting non-standard base-pairing at the 3rd anti-codon position. Lineage: Eukaryota; Fungi; Entomophthoromycota; Entomophthoromycetes; Entomophthorales; Entomophthoraceae. RNAcentral also lists the same sequence under 1 other name. The record is from RNAcentral.